AAAGUCUGACGGAGCAACGCCGCGUGAGUGAUGAAGGUUUUCGGAUCGUAAAACUCUGUUGUUAGGGAAGAACAAGUACCGUUCGAAUAGGGCGGUACCUUGACGGUACCUAACCAGAAAGCCACGGCUAACUACGUGCCAGCAGCCGCGGUAAUACGUAGGUGGCAAGCGUUGUCCGGAAUUAUUGGGCGUAAAGCGCGCGCAGGCGGUUUCUUAAGUCUGAUGUGAAAGCCCCCGGCUCAACCGGGGAGGGUCAUUGGAAACUGGGGAACUUGAGUGCAGAAGAGGAGAGUGGAAUUCCACGUGUAGCGGUGAAAUGCGUAGAGAUGUGGAGGAACACCAGUGGCGAAGGCGACUCUCUGGUCUGUAACUGACGCUGAGGCGCGAAAGCGUGGGGAGCGAACAGGAUUAGAUACCCUGGUAGUCCACGCCGUAAACGAUGAGUGCUAAGUGUUAGAGGGUUUCCGCCCUUUAGUGCUGCAGCAAACGCAUUAAGCACUCCGCCUGGGGAGUACGGUCGCAAGACUGAAACUCAAAGGAAUUGACGGGGGCCCGCACAAGCGGUGGAGCAUGUGGUUUAAUUCGAAGCAACGCGAAGAACCUUACCAGGUCUUGACAUCCUUCUGACAACCCUAGAGAUAGGGCUUCCCCUUCGGGGGCA
This 661-nucleotide ribosomal RNA is filed under the name Bacillus licheniformis. RNAcentral describes it as "bacterial SSU rRNA". It matches the Rfam family "Bacterial small subunit ribosomal RNA", at positions 378 to 1028 of the family's 1533-position model. Lineage: Bacteria; Bacillati; Bacillota; Bacilli; Caryophanales; Bacillaceae. The record is from RNAcentral.